This 253-nucleotide ribosomal RNA is filed under the name uncultured bacterium. RNAcentral describes it as "partial 16S ribosomal RNA". It matches the Rfam family "Bacterial small subunit ribosomal RNA", at positions 524 to 776 of the family's 1533-position model. The record is from RNAcentral.
GACAGAGGGGGCAAGCGUUGCUCGGAAUUACUGGGCGUAAAGGGCGCGUAGGCGGCGCGGGUAGUCAUCGGUGAAAGUUCAGGGCUCAACUCUGAAUCGGCCGGUGAUACUCCCGUGCUCGAGCACUAUAGAGGCAGGUGGAAUUCCGGGUGUAGCGGUGGAAUGCGUAGAGAUCCGGAAGAACACCGGUGGCGAAGGCGGCCUGCUGGGCAGUAGCUGACACUGAGGCGCGACAGCGUGGGGAGCAAACAGG